RNAcentral lists this ribosomal RNA (518 nucleotides) under uncultured bacterium. RNAcentral's name for it is "bacterial SSU rRNA". It matches the Rfam family "Bacterial small subunit ribosomal RNA", at positions 992 to 1509 of the family's 1533-position model. The record is from RNAcentral.
AGAACUUAGCAGAGAUGCUUUGGUGCCUUCGGGGAACUCUGAGACAGGUGCUGCAUGGCUGUCGUCAGCUCGUGUUGUGAAAUGUUGGGUUAAGUCCCGCAACGAGCGCAGCCCUUAUCCUUUGUUGCCAGCGGUCCGGCCGGGAACUCAAAGGAGACUGCCAGUGAUAAACUGGAGGAAGGUGGGGAUGACGUCAAGUCAUCAUGGCCCUUACGAGUAGGGCUACACACGUGCUACAAUGGCGCAUACAAAGAGAAGCGACCUCGCGAGAGCAAGCGGACCUCAUAAAGUGCGUCGUAGUCCGGAUUGGAGUCUGCAACUCGACUCCAUGAAGUCGGAAUCGCUAGUAAUCGUAGAUCAGAAUGCUACGGUGAAUACGUUCCUGGGCCUUGUACACACCGCCCGUCACACCAUGGGAGUGGGUUGCAAAAGAAGUAGGUAGCUUAACCUUCGGGAGGGCGCUUACCACUUUGUGAUUCAUGACUGGGGUGAAGUCGUAACAAGGUAGGCGUACGUGU